RNAcentral lists this ribosomal RNA (253 nucleotides) under uncultured bacterium. RNAcentral's name for it is "partial 16S ribosomal RNA". It matches the Rfam family "Archaeal small subunit ribosomal RNA", at positions 474 to 727 of the family's 1478-position model. The record is from RNAcentral.
UACCAGCACCCCGAGUGGUCGGGACGAUUAUUGGGCCUAAAGCGUCCGUAGCCGGUCAUGCAAGUCCUCCGUUAAAUCCACCUGCUUAACAGAUGGGCUGCGGAGGAUACUACAAGGCUAGGAGGCGGAAGAGGCAAGCGGUACUCAGUGGGUAGGGGUAAAAUCCUCUGAUCCAUUGAAGACCACCAGUGGCGAAGGCGGCUUGCCAAUACGCGCUCGACGGUGAGGGAUGAAAGCUGGGGGAGCAAACAGG